ACGGCUCCCUUUCGCUUUCCUUCCCGCGGCCAUGUCUCCUUGUUACCUCCCUAUCUUCAUCAUCUAUCUCUUUCUUCCCUCCCUAUCUCCGGCGGCUCUAUCUCCUUCAUCCCUCCCUAUCUCCCGCACAGCUCCUUUAUCGUAGCUCUGGGCAACUCUUAUCUCCUUUCCCGCAGCUCUUGGGAGCUCGUGUCGCAGCCCCCUGGCCACAGCUCCUCGUGUCACAGAAGCGCACUUACGAGACAGACAGACACAUUCACACACACACACACACACUCACAGCUCGAUAAGAAGAGAGAGGACCAUCGUCCACAAGGCCCAAGGCCUAAGCCUGAAAGCAACAGAAACCUGAGAGUCUGAGAUCGGAGGCAGAGACUCCGUCCUUUCACAGAUCGGACCAAAACCGAAGCUAAGAAAGAAGAGAUUAUUGCAGUCGUCAACCUUGUGAAAAGGUGCUUGAACUUGAAUGGAAAGAAACGACCUACGAUGAAAGAGGUCGCAAAAGAGUUGAAGGCAGUACUGCAAAUCUCACGAAAAGCCUCUAACCUUCACCAAAACUUUGAAGAGGUCGUACUCAAGAAUGAAAUGUUCGAUCAGUAUAAUGUUUCUACAUCAACAAUUGCAGGUAUGGACAGCGGCAUAGCCUCAUGUUUAGAUGCUGAACCAUUAUUAUCGUCUUACAUAUUAGGGCCAGUAUUUGCCCAAUUUCAUCUUGUGGGCUACAUAAUUUAGUCUUUUGGUUGAAUAUAUCAUGAAGUUAAUGCAUGCCAGCCAUGAAUAUAUCACUGAACAUGGAUUGUAGAUGAUAUUAUAUCUUAUGGUGGAAUGAGGCAUGCAAACAUAUACGCCUUUUAUGGUCUCA
This is a long non-coding RNA of Juglans regia (Persian walnut), 862 nucleotides long. RefSeq lists it as uncharacterized. The transcript is spliced from 2 exons. NCBI's taxonomy places the organism in Eukaryota, Viridiplantae, Streptophyta, Magnoliopsida, Fagales, Juglandaceae. The record is from RefSeq and is a predicted model, not a curated record.